GCCCCAGUAGCUCAGCCUGGUUAGAGCGCCUCCUUGGUAUGGAGGAGGCCGUGGGUUCGAAGCCCACCUGGGGCU
Molecule: transfer RNA, 75 nt
Filed under: Candidatus Bathyarchaeota archaeon
Lineage: Archaea; Thermoproteati; Candidatus Bathyarchaeota
Also listed under: 1 other name
Description: tRNA-Thr
Rfam family: tRNA
About the family: Transfer RNA (tRNA) molecules are approximately 80 nucleotides in length. Their secondary structure includes four short double-helical elements and three loops (D, anti-codon, and T loops).
Source: RNAcentral